This 332-nucleotide unclassified non-coding RNA is filed under the name soil metagenome. RNAcentral's name for it is "partial contains 5.8S ribosomal RNA, internal transcribed spacer 2, and large subunit ribosomal RNA". The stretch from base 1 to 120 matches the Rfam family "5.8S ribosomal RNA", at positions 35 to 154 of the family's 154-position model. The record is from RNAcentral.
GAUGAAGAACGUAGCAAAAUGCGAUAAGUAAUGUGAAUUGCAGAAUUCAGUGAAUCAUCGAAUCUUUGAACGCACAUUGCGCCCGCCAGUAUUCUGGCGGGCAUGCCUGUUCGAGCGUCAUUUCAACCCUCAAGCACAGCUUGGUGUUGGGACUCGCGUUAAUUCGCGUUCCUCAAAUUGAUUGGCGGUCACGUCGAGCUUCCAUAGCGUAGUAGUAAAACCCUCGUUACUGGUAAUCGUCGCGGCCACGCCGUUAAACCCCAACUUCUGAAUGUUGACCUCGGAUCAGGUAGGAAUACCCGCUGAACUUAAGCAUAGCAAUAAGCGGAGGA